UCCUCCCUCAAACCUCGUGUUUGGUGUUGGGUCGGGUUGGUCCUCUGCGACCAACUGGCCUCAAAGACAAUGACGGCGUCCGUGGGACCCUCGGUGCAACGAGCUUCUUCGUGAGCACGCACCGAGUUGCAAGGACCUUCCGGGCCGGUCUGACCUGUUACUACUUCUCA
Molecule: unclassified non-coding RNA, 170 nt
Filed under: uncultured Coniosporium
Lineage: Eukaryota; Fungi; Ascomycota
Description: sequence contains ITS2
Source: RNAcentral